GGAGAAACAGGUUUACCUUUUAGGUGACAUGAAUGAGUUGAAGUUAUGAACUGUUUCUGAGAGACAAAUAACACCAGGAUCCUUUUCUAUGUAGCUGACAGCUGGUAACUGUGCAGGGGCGGGUCUAGCAAAGUUUUGACAGGGGGCCAGGUUGGGCAUUAACAGGGAAAAGGGGGGCACAAGGAAAUACUUUUCUUUGUUAUGUCAUAUAUUCCUUUUUUAAAAUUUUUACAGUUCAGUAAGUUAUUUUUUUUAAAACGUUUAAGCAGGAUUUUAAACAUAAAUCACUUAGUUAUGUUUAAAAACUUUGAAUAAAUAAUUAUCUGAAUCUUACAACCAAAGUGGUCAUCUGAUUAAAUGUAUAGAAAUCCAUUAUUGUAUAUAGUAACUAUUAAGUCUAAUAUACACCCUAGUAAGCUAUAGUACUUUUUCCUUUGGGAAGGUACCAUCUGUGCAGUCUGCAAUUCUGUUGAAGAAAGAUGUUGAAUCUAUUUAAUUAUUGUAGAAAAAUAAUUGAUUUCUGUGCAUUUGCUUUACACGUGCAUUAAAGUUGAUUAUGUCGAUUAAGCAUUGUGAGGUGGAGGGUGGGGGGUGGUUUCCUAAUAUUUUUGCUGGGAGUUGGCAACCCUAUUAGUUAGGUUGCUUAAUAUUUCCACUAAGUACUCUUUAAAAUACCAGAAUAGGGAGGAUGGUGUAGGUUUAAAUUUAUUAGAUUGAUCAGUGUUGCUGAACUAUAAAAUGUUUUGGGUGGAGUGUAUUUUUUGCAUACAGGUAUAACUGAAUAACUUCAGUCUCUUGUUUUUUUAAAACUUGAGUAUGAACUUCUACAAAAUGCAGCAAGAUAUUUAUAAAAAAAAAAGUUUUAUUGAUUACAAAAUACACUAUAUCGGAUUCAUGUCGGUAUCGGCAGAUAUCCAAAUUUAUGAUAUCGGAAUCGUUAUCGGACAUUAAAAAGUGGUAUCGUGCCAUCUCUAAUUAAAACACACCUUUCACCUUUUGGUCACAUCAAAAUAAAACAGAUGUGACGGUCAACACAAAAGUUUUCAGACAUUUUUCAUGGUGCAUGUUGGAGGUUUAUUUUUUCAUUUCCAAAAACAUAAUUUGUUUAUCACAAUUCAGUGGGCUACAUAGUGGAAACAAAAGUAUCCAUUCUAUCACGCUAGUAUCAAUAGCGGGGUUGGUAUCAAUACUAUCGAUGUUUGAUGAUCCACCCUACCAAAAUCAAAUCUUUAAAAUUAAAAAAGCAUUUUAAUGUUGGAUUCAGUGGGCAUUGACUUGAUUUUGGAGCCAGCCCCAAGUGGCCAUUUGGGGGACUGCUAUUUUUACAAUUUGGGGAGCUGCUUUGUUAUUAUUCAGCAGUCUAACUCAAUGGUUUUUUUUUCCAACAAAUAUGAUGAAAUAACUUAACUGUAAUAAUCCUUAAAUGUUCUGAACCCUUACCGAUUUCAAACAUUCAGAAAGUUUAGAUAAACACUUGGUCUAUAUAAAAUUAUCAUUUGAGCUCAUGUAAAUGUUCACGGUGUUGCAGGUACAAUUGGUGCGUUAAACAAAGUUUGUCUUCACAGCUCAUUAAUGUGUCUUACAAUUUGUUGUCUGACUAGAAGUGCUUUCAGAGUUCGGACAGGACAAAGUGAUAAUGCCUUGAUACUUGCCUUUAGUCUUUAAUACUGUAGGUCCAUCUGUUGUAUAAAUAUGCAUUUGUCAUUCAGACGUGAUCUUGAGGGGAUUGGCCUUGCUGUUCAUUCAAGUUGUGUUUUUGGCAUCUGCAGUAUGAUAAACUGGAGUGCGCCACAAUAACGACACCAGCAAAAAGAAAAAGACUAACUUUAGCUUGCUGUCCCAACACUUUGACCGUGUACAUACAAUAAAUGUUUGAAAGUCCUUUUCAGAUCUCUGAGCUAUCUGAGGGGUGCUUGAUUUACCACUUCAGACGCCUCAACAGUCUCAGGAGGGGAAACAUCAAGCUUUUCAAAAUGAAUUGGGAUUCCUUGGUAAUAUCAAGCAGCCAUUGGAGACCCAUAGAAACUGCAGAAUCUGCAGAGAAAUUGAAGUAAGUCUGACAUCGGUCCAGUUACAGGUAAAUACAACAAAUGUGUUGCACUUUGUAACAACUGAAUUAAAAAGUAAAUUAAUGUCUCCCCUGUAAUCUGUCACCUAAUGAUGUCUGUCUUGUCAUUCUUUUGGAAGUAAAAAAUAUAUACCAGUAAUAACAAUAACAAUAUUUAUUUAUAUUUAUAUUAAUUUCUGUUGUAUGUUACAAAACAGUAAAAUUAUGAUUGUGAGAUAAAAAGCUGUUGUUGUGCAAUUCUUAUAAGAUUUGUGUUGAAUCUACAUCUAAAUAUUAAUGGUACUUUUUUGUACUCUGCACAUAUCUGAACUUGCAGUAUUUGAGGAUUUUGAAAUACACAAUUGGAUAUUACAGAUAUUUGUCUUUUCUGUUUCUAUAAAAAAGAAAAAGUAAUUUAGAUCUUUUUACUUUUGUAAGCCACCAAAUGAGGAACUUACUUUGGCUAGCUGCUAGCAUGCACUGUAUGCUAGGUUAGAAAAAGUUGGGGACAACUGCUCUUUACUUUUUUACUUAUAUAAACAUGUCUUUUUAUAUUUGUUUAAGACUGCAAAGCAUUUUUCAGUUGUUAUUUAACCUACAUAUGUAGAUUUUUAAAUGUCAACACUUUUUUCAGAGUCUUGUUUUUUUUUCAGUGGCCAUGACAAAAGCUAGCAGAUUUUGUUGCUAAC
This is a long non-coding RNA of Astatotilapia calliptera (eastern happy), 2736 nucleotides long. The record is from Ensembl. Lineage: Eukaryota; Metazoa; Chordata; Actinopteri; Cichliformes; Cichlidae.